UUCCGGUUGAUCCUGCCGGAGGCUACCGCUAUUGGAGUUCGAUUAAGCCAUGCGAGUCGCGAGACUAAGAAUCUCGGCGUACCGCUCAGUAACACGUGGGUAACCUGCCCUAUGCUGGGGAAUAACCUCGGGAAACUGAGAAUAAUGCCCCAUAGUUCACCACACCUGGAACGGUGGGUGGAUGAAAGCUCCGGCGGCAUAGGAUGGGCCUGCGGCGUAUCAGGUUGUAGGGGGUGUAAUGUACCCUCUAGCCAUCUACGCGUACGGGUGUUGAGAGACAUCGCCCGGAGAUGGAUUCUGAGACACGAAUCCAGACCCUACGGGGUGCAGCAGGCGCGAAAACUUGGCAAUGCGAGCAAUCGUGACCAGGGAACUCCAAGUGCAUCGGGUAAGACCGAUGCUUUUCUUGACUCUUCAAAGGUCUUGGAAUAAGGGGUGGGUAAGGACGGUGCCAGCCGCCGCGGUAAUACCGGCGCCUCAAGUGGUAGUCGCUUUUAUUGGGCCUAAAACGUCCGUAGCCGGUUUGGUACAUUCGUGGGUAAAUCAAGACGCUCAACGUCUUGAAUUCUGCGAGCACGGCCAGACUUGGGACCGGGUGAGGUGUGGGGUACUCUCAGGGUAGGGGUAAAAUCCUGUCAUCCUGAGAGGACCACCUGUUGCGAGGGCGCCACACUAGAACGGAUCUGACGGUCAGGGACGAAGCCUAGGGGCACGAACCGGAUUAGAUACCCGGGUAGUCCUAGGUGUAAACGCUGUGGACUUGAUGUUGGGAGUGCUCCGAGCGCCCUCAGUGUCGAAGCGAAGGUGAUAAGUCCACUGCCUGGGGAGUACGGUCGCAAGGCUGAAACUUAAAGGAAUUGUCGGGGGAGCACUGCAACCUGAGGAUUGUGCGGUUUAAUUUGGAGUCAACGCCGGAA
This 917-nucleotide ribosomal RNA is filed under the name uncultured archaeon. RNAcentral's name for it is "bacterial SSU rRNA". It matches the Rfam family "Archaeal small subunit ribosomal RNA", at positions 1 to 923 of the family's 1478-position model. The record is from RNAcentral.